GUCCUUUAGAAAAAUAAUUUAAGGUCUAAUCUGCCCACUGAUUAAUUGAAUGGCCGCAGUAAUUUGACUGUGCAAAGGUAGCAUAAUCAUUAGUUUUUUAAUUAAAAGCUUGUAUGAAUGAUUGGACGAGAUAAAAUCUGUCUCUUAAUUAGUAUUAGAAUUUAAUUUUUAAGUAAAAAAGCUUAAAUAUUUAUGAAAGACGAGAAGACCCUAUAGAUCUUUAUUUAUGAAGUUUAAUUUUUAUUAAGAUUUAUUUAUUUAUUAUAUUUAAAUAAAUUUUAUUGGGGUAAUAAAAAGAUUAAUAUAAUUCUUUUUUAUUUUUAACAAUUAUAAUUGAUUUGGAGAUCCAUUAUUAGUGAUUAUAAGAUUAAGUUACCUUAGGGAUAACAGCGUAAUUUUUUUAGAGAGUUCAUAUCGAUAAAAAAGAUUGCGACCUCGAUGUUGGAUUAAAAAUUAUUCUAGGUGCAGAAGUUUAGAAUUUUGGUCUGUUCGACCAUUAAAUUUUUACA
Molecule: ribosomal RNA, 509 nt
Filed under: Hyphydrus signatus
Lineage: Eukaryota; Metazoa; Arthropoda; Insecta; Coleoptera; Dytiscidae
Description: partial 16S ribosomal RNA
Rfam family: Bacterial large subunit ribosomal RNA
Source: RNAcentral